UGGGGAAUUUUGGACAAUGGGGGAAACCCUGAUCCAGCCAUCCCGCGUGUGCGAUGAAGGCCUUCGGGUUGUAAAGCACUUUUGGCAGGAAAGAAACGUCAUGGGUUAAUACCCCGUGAAACUGACGGUACCUGCAGAAUAAGCACCGGCUAACUACGUGCCAGCAGCCGCGGUAAUACGUAGGGUGCAAGCGUUAAUCGGAAUUACUGGGCGUAAAGCGUGCGCAGGCGGUUCGGAAAGAAAGAUGUGAAAUCCCAGAGCUCAACUUUGGAACUGCAUUUUUAACUACCGGGCUAGAGUGUGUCAGAGGGAGGUGGAAUUCCGCGUGUAGCAGUGAAAUGCGUAGAUAUGCGGAGGAACACCGAUGGCGAAGGCAGCCUCCUGGGAUAACACUGACGCUCAUGCACGAAAGCGUGGGGAGCAAAC
This 426-nucleotide ribosomal RNA is filed under the name Acidobacteriota bacterium. Its description in RNAcentral is "Acidobacteria bacterium partial 16S ribosomal RNA". It matches the Rfam family "Bacterial small subunit ribosomal RNA", at positions 355 to 773 of the family's 1533-position model. The record is from RNAcentral. Lineage: Bacteria; Pseudomonadati; Acidobacteriota.